Molecule: long non-coding RNA, 874 nt
Organism: Mauremys mutica (yellowpond turtle)
Lineage: Eukaryota; Metazoa; Chordata; Testudines; Geoemydidae
Exons: 3
Source: RefSeq, a predicted model, not a curated record
CAGAGAGCCCUCUACAGGGACGUCAUGCAGGAGAACUAUGGGACUGUGACCUCGCUGGGACUCCCCAUUCUCAAACCUGCCCUGAUUGCCCGGCUGGAAGCAAGGGAAGAUCCGUGGGUCCCAGAUCUCCAGCCCUUCAAGGAAAGCAACAUCCCAAGAGUCACAGGCACAGCAGGUGACAUGAGAAUGAGGACAGGAAUCCACAGCAGAAAGGUCCUGACCAAGUGGAACUGCAGGGGACCUUGAAGAGCUGGACACUAUUUUUCCCAGUGCUGGGAACAGAGAAAAGCCUGGAGUCACUGGCACAGGUCAGAGAGGAAGCUGGGAAACAGCCCAUGGAAGAAAAUGGAUGAAUCCAUUGAAUGUGGGAGAGGAGGCAAUGGUGCCCAGGAAACCACAGCCCAGCAGACAAAUCACAAGGAAAAGAAACCCUAAAAAUGCUUGGAGUGUGGGAAAACCUUCAGUCAGCAGUCUGGCCUUUUUAAAGCCUGGGAGAAUCCACACUGGAGAGAGGCCAUAAAAGUGCUUUUAUUGUUGUAAAAGUUUUAGUGCACCAUCACCCUGUUGCAUUAGAAAACACACACAGGGUAGAAACCCUUUAAAUGCUUACUCCCCAACACAGCCCCCUCCCCCCGCAAUGCAGCACUUAGCGUACCUCCUCACGGACAGAUCCCAGGCAAACUCCCUCUGUUAGCCUCCGCUGUUCGCCACCUUCCCUGUGUGGGUUCUCCCAUGCUUAAUAAGGGUUGAGCACUAACUGAAACUGUUCAGGUUUCAGAGUAGCAGCCGUGUUAGUCUGUAUCCGGAGAAAGAACAGGAGUACUUGUGGCACCUUAAAGACUAACACAUUUAUUUUAGCAUGAGCUUUCGUGAG